This 1232-nucleotide ribosomal RNA is filed under the name metagenome. Its description in RNAcentral is "bacterial SSU rRNA". It matches the Rfam family "Bacterial small subunit ribosomal RNA", at positions 8 to 1231 of the family's 1533-position model. The record is from RNAcentral.
AGAGUUUGAUCCUGGCUCAGGAUGAACGCUAGCUACAGGCUUAACACAUGCAAGUCGAGGGGAAACGAUAUUGGAAGCUUGCUUCCGAUAGGCGUCGACCGGCGCACGGGUGAGUAACGCGUAUCCAACCUGCCCAUCACUUGGGGAUAACCUUGCGAAAGUAAGACUAAUACCCAAUGACGUCUCUAGAAGACAUCUGAAGGAGAUUAAAGAUUUAUCGGUGAUGGAUGGGGAUGCGUCAGAUUAGCUUGUUGGCGGGGUAACGGCCCACCAAGGCUACGAUCAGUAGGGGUUCUGAGAGGAAGGUCCCCCACAUUGGAACUGAGACACGGUCCAAACUCCUACGGGAGGCAGCAGUGAGGAAUAUUGGUCAAUGGACGAGAGUCUGAACCAGCCAAGUGGCGUGCAGGAUGACGGCCCUAUGGGUUGUAAACUGCUUUUAUAAGGGAAUAAAGUGAGCCUCGUGAGGCUUUUUGCAUGUACCUUAUGAAUAAGGACCGGCUAAUUCCGUGCCAGCAGCCGCGGUAAUACGGAAGGUCCGGGCGUUAUCCGGAUUUAUUGGGUUUAAAGGGAGCGUAGGCCGGAGAUUAAGCGUGUUGUGAAAUGUAGACGCUCAACGUCUGCACUGCAGCGCGAACUGGUUUCCUUGAGUACGCACAAAGUGGGCGGAAUUCGUGGUGUAGCGGUGAAAUGCUUAGAUAUCACGAAGAACUCCGAUUGCGAAGGCAGCUCACUGGAGCGCAACUGACGCUGAAGCUCGAAAGUGCGGGUAUCGAACAGGAUUAGAUACCCUGGUAGUCCGCACGGUAAACGAUGGAUGCCCGCUGUUGGUCUGAAUAGGUCAGCGGCCAAGCGAAAGCAUUAAGCAUCCCACCUGGGGAGUACGCCGGCAACGGUGAAACUCAAAGGAAUUGACGGGGGCCCGCACAAGCGGAGGAACAUGUGGUUUAAUUCGAUGAUACGCGAGGAACCUUACCCGGGCUUGAAUUGCAGAGGAAGGAUUUGGAGACAAUGACGCCCUUCGGGGCCUCUGUGAAGGUGCUGCAUGGUUGUCGUCAGCUCGUGCCGUGAGGUGUCGGCUUAAGUGCCAUAGCGAGCGCAACCCCUCUCCUUAGUUGCCAUCAGGUUAAGCUGGGCACUCUGGGGACACUGCCACCGUAAGGUGUGAGGAAGGUGGGGAUGACGUCAAAUCAGCACGGCCCUUACGUCCGGGGCUACACACGUGUUACAAU